AGUGAGCGCUGGCGGUAGGCCUAACACAUGCAAGUCGAACGGCAGCACAGUAAGAGCUUGCUCUUACGGGUGGCGAGUGGCGGACGGGUGAGGAAUACAUCGGAAUCUACUUUUUCGUGGGGGAUAACGUAGGGAAACUUACGCUAAUACCGCAGACGACCUACGGGUGAAAGCAGGGGAUCUUCGGACCUUGCGCGAUUGAAUGAGCCGAUGUCGGAUUAGCUAGUUGGGGGGGUAAAGGCCGACCAAGGCGACGAUCCGUAGCUGGUCUGAGAGGAUGAUCAGGCACACUGGAACUGAGACACGGUCCAGACUCCUACGGGAGGAAGCAGUGGGGAAUAUUGGACAAUGGGCGCAAGCCUGAUCCAGCCAUACCGCGUGGGUGAAGAAGGCCUUCGGGUUGUAAAGCCCUUUUGUUGGGAAAGAAAAGCAGCAGGUUAAUACCCCGCUGUUCUGACGGUACCCAAAGAAUAAGCACCGGCUAACUUCGUG
This 492-nucleotide ribosomal RNA is filed under the name uncultured bacterium. RNAcentral describes it as "partial 16S ribosomal RNA". It matches the Rfam family "Bacterial small subunit ribosomal RNA", at positions 29 to 507 of the family's 1533-position model. The record is from RNAcentral.